This 68-nucleotide small RNA is filed under the name Bacillus subtilis. Its description in RNAcentral is "Bacillaceae-1 RNA". It matches the Rfam family "Bacillaceae-1 RNA". The record is from RNAcentral. Lineage: Bacteria; Bacillati; Bacillota; Bacilli; Caryophanales; Bacillaceae.
UUGGAAUAAAAGGCGGCUAAUGACUCAGGCGUCCUGCCUGAACGCCGUCUUCAUCACAUCCCUGUGAA